GCGGGGUGACAGGCGGGUCUCGGCCACAGCCGAGUGCGGCGCGUCAGUUCCGGCGGGGAACGCGGCGCGGCGCGUGGGUCGGAAGCGCCGCGGCGGCGGGGAGCGGAAAAUGGCGACGGCCGCGCAGCUCACGGACGAGGAGCUCUUCUCGGAGCUGAGGCGCUUCGGCUUCUCCCCGGGGCCGGUCACCGAGAGCACCCGGCCCGUCUACCUGAAGAAGCUGAAGAAGCUGCGCGAGGAUGAACGGGCCGGGGCCCGCGGCGGCGGCGCCAACAAGACCCGGAACAGCAACAACAAUAACACGGGAGCCGGAGCGGCGCCGGGCGGAGGCGGCGGCCCUGGGCGGGCGGCCCCGGGAGCGCGGCUGGCCGGCGCCGAGCACCCCUUCCUCCCUGGGGCUGCCGCCGGAGGCGGCCGGGGCCGCGCUGCAACCCCGUCCGGGGGCGGCAAAGUGCUGCUGGGCUUCAGCUCGGACGAGUCGGACGUGGAGAGCAGUCCCCGGAGCCAGGCCGGCGGCAGGAGGGAGCGCGCUGCGCCCCUCUUCCGCGGCCUCAGGCCCGCCGCCCCCCACGGCGCCUGCGGCGUGAGCAGCAGCUCCCCCCCGGAGGAGGCGGCCCGGCGGAAGCCCAACGCCUGGUGGGGGGCGGCGGCCAGGAGACCGGCGGCGACUCAGGGUGUGAGGGAGCUCGGCGACGGCGAGGAGGAGGACGACGAAGAGGGGGAGGAAAAGGAGAGCGAGCAGCAGCGGUGGAAGAACCGGACCGUGAACGGGAACCGGUUCCUCUCCUACGGAGGCAGCAGGGACAAGUACUCGGACUCGGAGGAGGAGGAGGCGGCGGGGGCGAGGGCCAAACAGCAGGAGGAGUCUGCAGUUCGCCGGCCCAGACGGAGCCUCAGCAAGUCGCCUGCUCCAUUCAUAACAAGCAAAUGCGCUGCAGCCGGCGCUGGCGUGAUGGAGACGGGCCAAGAAAGGGCUGGCGGAGGCUGCGGUGCUGGUGUGCUCGUAACGAAUGACAGGGCGGCGGGGGCGGCUGCUGCCGGCAGUCUAGACAGGGGCAGCAGUCAGGAGGAGGAGGAGGAGGCGGCGGCGGCGGUGGGGGUGGGGGGAAGAGGAGGAGGAGGAGGAUGUGAAAAUCUGGACUCUAGUCCUCCCAGACCCAGAUACCGCAUUGGCCUAUCCAAGAAAUCCCCGUCAGUAUUGUUGUUGCCGCCACCGCUCACGGAUGUGGACAGCGGCAAAAUCACUGACCCUCCAGGCGCCAUUAGGAAAGCGACCAAUAAUCAUGUUCUCAGCGGUGCUCCUAGUAGCUGUAAUGUUGAAUCCAGGAUCUAUUCAUCUACUAAUAGCCUUCCCCCGGGUGGAACCACCUCCUCCCUUAGACUCAACCACUCCAAUCAUACGGGUUCAAAUCAUACCUACCUGAAAAACACCUAUAAGAAGAAUCUCUCUGAGCCCGAGGAGGAGCUUCUCCAACAGUUCAAAAGAGAGGAGGUAUCCACCACUGGAGGCUUCAGUGCACAUUACCUGUCCAUGUUCCUCUUAACUGCUGCAUGCUUGUUCUUUCUGAUACUGGGAUUCACAUACCUGAGAAUGAGAGGUUCUGGAGUAGCUGAGGAUGUGGGAGCCAACAUCAAGGAUCCCUUUAGUGAAGAACUCCAAAAAAUACAAGAAGAGGAAAUAAGUCUCAUGAUGAAGAGCUUGUAUGCACUUCAUGAUAAAUUGGCACAAGUAGCAGGGGAACAUGAAUGUGGCAGCUCUACUCAAAGAAACCUUACCGUCCAGGAGGCAGCUGCAUAUUUAAAAAAUUUAGAUCCAGAAUAUGAAAGUGUACUUAACACAUCAUUACAAUGGAUCUUGAAUAGUGGAGAAGAUGUUGGCAUAAAGUGUCUCAGCAAUGACCCUAAUGAGAUGGAUGUCACUAAUGUGACAGAUGUGAAGUAUCUGGAAUCCACUAGUCCAAAGAUGUCUUUCAGGUGUCGUUUUCGCCGUGCGUUUGUUAAUGUAACUCACAGAUUAUCAAUAUUGCUUUGGGGUGUAGCAAUGGUUUGGGGAGUCUUACACUACAUGAAAUACCGUUGGGCAAAAGAGGAAGAAGAAACAAAGCAGAUGUAUGAUAUGGUGGUGAAAAUCAUAGAUGUUCUAAGAAGCCACAGCGAGGCGUGUUCAGAAAAUAAAGAGUUACAGCCUUACAUGCCAAUUUUACAUGUGCGAGAUUCUUUAAUACCACCGCAGGACAGGAGGAAGAUGAAUAAAGUCUGGAAUAGAGCAGUUGACUUUCUUGCAGCAAAUGAAUCUAGAGUUCGUACAGAGACACGAAGAGUAGGUGGUGCCGAGUUCUUGGUUUGGAAGUGGAUGCAACCUUCUGCAGCGUGUGACAAAAUUUUAGUAAUACCAUCCAAAGUGUGGCAAGGCCAAGGUCCAGGUCCAUGACUAGGCCACCCCAGAUCACCUUCUCCAGUAUGGUGUGGUGCCCCAGUGUACAAUAUGCUGGUGACAUUUCACCCUACCCUUGAUCUGCUGGAGCCAACCUCCAUAAGUAAGCAUUUCAUCUAGAUAGAAGAAAUUCACCACCGAACAGCUUGACACCAUGUCUAAAGAUUCGCAAUAUGUUUGAUCCAGUUAUGUAAGUAAAAACAGUUAUCUGUCUGUAUUUCUGCAUUCUUUUGGAAGAGUCCAUUUCUUACCUCUGAGAGGGAUUUGGAAGAAGUGAAGAAACAUGAACAUGUUGAAAAAAACAGGUUGUAAAAAAAAAUGUUUCUCUUAACAUCUAUGAGAAGAUAUAAAAAACCUUAACCCUCUGUCUUCUGUCCUUCAUUGUAUUGCUUUGUGUCUUUGGCUCACUUCUUGAAAGAUGUGGCAUAUAGUCAAACUAUUUGGAGCAAUGACUGAUCUUUCUCCAUUAAUCAAAUUUGUAAAUGUUCAAUUGUAUCAACUGACAGAGGCAACUCAUGUGGCCUGACAACAGAUUGUAAAUUUCUAGUCUUGUUCAAUAUUCUGAAGUAUUUGGACAGCUACAAAGCUUGCAUAGUUUGCAUUUAAAAUGCUGAAUUGAAAUAAUUUAUUACUUUAUGGCACUAAGGCUGCCUAAUUUUGAAGCAAAUGGAUUUUUGUAGUGGGAACAAAUUAGUGCUGCCUACUGACUUCUAGUGCUCAUGUAAUUCUCAUAAUUCUGAAGUAUGUACCGUGUAUGAAUAAGUAACAAGCUUUGUUUCAUGUACCAAGAGCUAAGGAAAAAUAAUUAAUUUUUUUUUGUAGUCUGUUAAGUCUUCGUCUGCUCCACUAUUCUGUUAUAUCCCCUUUGGCUCUGGAGUAGAUCAUGGUAGGAGUUGGGAACUAACACAGAGGUUAUGACAGAUAAUCCUGUAUAAGCUUUGAAGUGUCUUUGUCCAUUGUAAAAAGAUACAGGGACUCCAAUAACUUCUCUGGAGUAAAUUAUUCCUUAAUGUGAUUAUACAAGGGAAAAUUACAGAUGCUGUGUCUAACAAGGGUACGUGUGAGAUGCUACCUCAAUAAUACAACCCAUUGAUUAGGACAGGAAGUAAGGGAGGACGUCAGAGUAUGGACACAAGUGAUUGCAAAGUUUGGAUGUAUUUAUUCAGCCUUUUUUCUAGCCACACUUAAUUUAGUUUAGUUCCUUGCCUUAUUAACUGAAAGGCUGUUGGUUAAUUUAGAUGAAGACAGUGUUACCCCUAGCAUAGAGAAGUACUUCAAAAACCUUUUCUCAAUGUCUUUAAGAUUUAAUGUCUGGUCAAAGACACCAGCUUCUGUGGCUUCUAUAAUAACUUUCAGGUUGCAGUAGGGUGAGCAAGACUGAAAUUUCAAGGGUUGUUCUUGAAGCAAAUUGAUCCUCCUGUAGGAGGAUUAAAACAUGAGAUUUGCAGAGAAUUUUAAGGGACAUCAACAUCCUUCUUGUCUUUGCUUCAAAGAAGACUUUGUGAGCUGUAUUGGUUAGUUUGAGUGGUACUGAAAUAGUCACUGUAAUAUUUCUUGGUAUGUUGUAUUGGUUACUUUCCUGUUUCAGAAUGUUAGCAGUUCAAAAUGUCUGUUGUUAAUGGAACUAAUUACUGAGAUGUUAUUUUUGUCAGGACAGUCUCCCCUUUUAGCCUAUAUCUUUGCUGUAAGCGUCAGUGUUUUCAGUACUGACCCAGUCCGUGUCCAACAGGUGCAUUAAAAAGCCCCCACAUUUAUAGACUAGGAGUUUUUGUGUUUUAGCACUUGUCUUUAGUGCCUAUGUCCAGUCAGCUAUUUUGAACAUUGUGACUUCUAAUACAUUGACUUUUUGUAGACAUUUUCUUUUGGAAGUUGACCUAGCUCCAUUACUGGACUGCUGGAUUACAUUCGUAGUGGGCUACUUCAUGCAAUUCUCUAUUGUACUCCCUAGUGCAUUCUUCUUCUGUGAGCUGUCUUUCAGAGGACUGUGCCUUAAGGAAAUAGUUCUUAUCAUACCCUUGGAAUUAUCUUAAAGAAAACACAAACAGAAAUCCAAAGCCCUCAGUGCAAGACAAACCAUAUUAUUAGUCUGCUUGUGUCAUUAGAGGAAGGAGGCUUAUGUUCUUGUUCCAGACCUGAAAGGGAUGAAUACUUUCAACCACCUAAAACAUAGAAUGUACCAGUGUCUGUGAUUAGAUUGUCAAGUAUUGUUUUGACGUUUGCUGUGGAUGCAAGGUAUGUUUAACAAAACUAGUUUUAGCUGCUCUUACAGUGACUGUAUACUAACAAUAAUUACUGAAUUCCUUUCGGUGAUUGCACCGGUAGCUGUUAGAAGCAGCCCCAUGAAACAGGUCUUUUUUCUUGACCUGAGAUUCAUCUGGGAAUAUACUGGUUAACUUGUUUUUAUUAAUGUUAGCACAGCAAAUAAUCAGCUCUCUACUGCCAAAAGUCAAGGAGGAAUCAUAUCAAGGGAACAAAUUGUCCAACUUGUUCACUUGUACAUUGUGAACCCUCACAUCACAGCAGCAGACUUUGUUGUGUGUUCUAGACAUUUACUAUGCAAUGCAGAAGCAUGUUUUUUUAACUAUUAGUCUAAGCACCACUUGGAUGCUUAGAAAAAGCCCAUUUUAGGACAACACCCCACCCCCCAAACAGAGGUUAUUCCUUUUGAUUUGUAGGGUUGAAUUGUCUAAAGUGGACUGUAGGAGCCAAUUUACAGUGUAUUCAGUAGGAAAAGUACUUAAUCUGUCCCAGAGACGUUUACCAGAAAAUUAUGUGAAGUUGCAGAGAAACCAGACUCAGUAGGGAAGUAUGAGAAUGUUGUGAAUGUUUAGAAAAGUAUGUAAUCCCUUAAAUCUUAUAUUGUUUGCCUAGGGAAAUAGGUGAUCACUGGCAUCUAGCAAUUCAAGAAGCAAUCUUGGAGAAGUGCAGUGAUAAUGAUGGAAUUGUUCAUAUCGCUGUAGACAAAAAUUCACGUGAGGGCUGUGUAUAUGUCAAGUGUCUCUCCCCGGAGUAUGCUGGAA
Onychostruthus taczanowskii (white-rumped snowfinch) is the source of this 5454-nucleotide RNA transcript. It is a transcript of the gene named LEM domain containing 3, with no coding region annotated. The transcript has 12 exons. The record is from RefSeq and is a predicted model, not a curated record. NCBI's taxonomy places the organism in Eukaryota, Metazoa, Chordata, Aves, Passeriformes, Passeridae.